GGGUCAAAGGUCGGGCGGGUGCGCAUACACAGAGAGGAAGCACAUGCACCAAGUGAUCAGAGGCUGCUAAGAUGAUGUGUUGCUUCGUUCCUCAAGAAAGAGAUGUAGCAAAGGAAGCAGAACAAUAAAGAAAUACUGAAAGAGAGAGGAUGCUGAAUUACCGCAGCGAGUGGAACAGAGGCUACCUCGGAUCCAAGGGGGAACAGCAGCCGCCCAGGCCUCUGACUCUCGAGCAGACUCCUCACUCCCUCCCUCAGCUCCUGCUGCUGCCAUUUCGCCACCUAAUGGUGCGGCUCCUCCCGAGGCUCCCAAGUCCCCAGGCAACACCCUGGUUUCCCGUGACGAUGCCCUCGUGUCGUGUGACACCGACAUGGCCUCCUCUGCUGUGGUUGCUGCAGCUGGUGAGAGGGUGUCCCCAAUCUUUCAAAGUAGAGAACAGUGAACAUAAGGGAACUAAAAAGGCAAAGCAGUACCUAAAAUGUCAAACUUAAAAGGACAUUAAAGACACACCAUGCUUACCGUUGCACUUUGUGCUCGUUCAGGCUCUUGUGUGCCAGUUGCAGAAGACUGAUCUCUCUGUGAAAGAAUGUCAUCUAAUAUUUAUUAGCCAUUUCAGACGUGCCGUCCAAAGUAAGAGGAUAUGUCACAGCCAUCAGAUAAGACAGAUUGCUUCCUCUGCAUAUAACAUGUGCAUUUCGUUCCUCAGUAAAAAAUCUUAAGUCUCAAAUUACAGAAACACAGUUUGGGAAAACUUGGGAGUGUAACUGACAGCCUCAGGCCUGAGCGGUUAUAUCAUGCAAGUGAGGCUUGCAGGUUUGAUUUCCUCCAACAGGCAACGUGUCCAUCCAUACUCUGGGGGGAAACCACAGAUACUGAGCUGAAAUGUAAUGUAAAUGUUCAAAAAUAAACGUUACCUGUGUGUGAACUAUGUAGUUCUGGAUCUGCUCCUGUGUGAUGGGGAUGUGCUCCAGAAUGACCUGCAGCCUCAUCGUCAUCAUACUGGUCAUCCAGUUGACCAGGCUGGGGCUGAUGUCACUGGACAUCCUCCGCUGGAACAACAAGAGAAAAUAAACUUUUUACUUUACAGGCAAACAGCUGUUUAUUCUGUAUUUAGUCUUUUUGGCAUCAUUCUUGUUUGGAUUGCUUAAACGUUUAGCAGCAUUUUUUGAGUCUCCUUUUUCUUAGUCAUUCCUUCGAGCGCCACAAGAACCUUGCAAAGACGCAAUAAUUAACUGCUGUAGUCUUUUUGCUUGUAAUGUUGCCAUUUUGUACUUGAGGGUUGCUCUUGUUGAGUCACGCUGAAUAAACUGUCAAAAUCUA
Micropterus dolomieu (smallmouth bass) is the source of this 1320-nucleotide long non-coding RNA. RefSeq lists it as uncharacterized. The transcript is spliced from 4 exons. NCBI's taxonomy places the organism in Eukaryota, Metazoa, Chordata, Actinopteri, Centrarchiformes, Centrarchidae. The record is from RefSeq and is a predicted model, not a curated record.